Molecule: ribosomal RNA, 253 nt
Filed under: uncultured bacterium
Lineage: Bacteria
Description: partial 16S ribosomal RNA
Rfam family: Bacterial small subunit ribosomal RNA
Source: RNAcentral
UACAGAGGGUGCGAGCGUUAAUCGGAAUGACUGGGCGUAAAGGGUGCGUAGGUGGUAGAUUAAGUGUGUUGUGAAAUCCCCGGGCUUAACCUGGGAAUGGCAACGCAUACUGGUCAACUGGAGUAGGUGAGAGGCGUGUGGAAUUUCCGGUGUAGCGGUGAAAUGCGUAGAGAUCGGAAAGAACACCAGUGGCGAAGGCGGCACGCUGGCACCAUACUGACACUGAGGCACGAAAGCGUGGGGAUCAAACAGG